GUAGGUCCCGAGCGUUGUCCGGAUUUAUUGGGCGUAAAGCGAGCGCAGGCGGUUUGAUAAGUCUGAAGUUAAAGGCUGUGGCUCAACCAUAGUUCGCUUUGGAAACUGUCAAACUUGAGUGCAGAAGGGGAGAGUGGAAUUCCAUGUGUAGCGGUGAAAUGCGUAGAUAUAUGGAGGAACACCGGUGGCGAAAGCGGCUCUCUGGUCUGUAACUGACGCUGAGGCUCGAAAGCGUGGGGAGCGAAC
Molecule: ribosomal RNA, 246 nt
Filed under: uncultured Lactobacillales bacterium
Lineage: Bacteria; Bacillati; Bacillota; Bacilli; Lactobacillales
Description: partial 16S ribosomal RNA
Rfam family: Bacterial small subunit ribosomal RNA
Source: RNAcentral